CGUUUGUGCCAAGCAAAACCGUUAUGAUUAGUCUUGGGGAUGAUCGUUUGGUCAUGCUGGAAAAGACAGAAACUUUCUGCUCACGAAAAGAAUUUUCAUUUUUUUUCUGUAAGAGAUUUUGAGUUGAUUCUUUUUGCUGCUGAUUGCUACGCACAUUCUUCAGAUUGUCGUAAUAUGUCAGAAGUUUUGAAGUACCAGAGGUAUACGAAACAUACAUAUUGCUACAGACUGGUCUGCUGUUAAUAGAUUCUGUUUUUGUUGUGUUGGUUGCUUAUUUUACUGAAACUAUGGAUAGUAUCGGGGGGUAUUAGCCAUGGAAGAUUGAAAGUACAGUAGCCCAACAUCAGCACAAGUAGAAUUUAAGUUUGCUACAGUACCUAAGGAAGUGGUGGUUUGCGUUCUUGUACUAAUGUUAUCACGAGUUUCUGUUUAAGUUUCGUGUUGUGAAGUUUUCAAGUUUUGGGUGAAGUUCUUACGGACAAAAAGAUAAAGAGUGGCAAGAGCUCAAGCUUGGGGAUGCCCAAGGCACCCCAAGAGAGUCAAGGAUGCCGUAAAAGCCUAAGCUUGGGGA
This 571-nucleotide long non-coding RNA is filed under the name Hordeum vulgare. RNAcentral's name for it is "long non-coding RNA (HVUL_LNC015336)". Lineage: Eukaryota; Viridiplantae; Streptophyta; Magnoliopsida; Poales; Poaceae. The record is from RNAcentral.